CGGAGAAAAGUAAGAGGAAAAUCCAUAUUUUAUCUUGGCGUCCAAACAGAACGUGGCGAAUCAAAUGUGAUGGGAAGUGGUUUCUCCUCCCUCUUCCCUUGCUUCAAACCGGGGACUAACCGGACCCAACACGAACAACCCGACUUGAUCUUCACUGCCUCUGAGCCGUUGGAUGAAACCCUAGGUCACUCUUUCUGCUACGUUCGAUCCUCUAACCGCUUCGUCUCUCCCACUCCCUCCGAUCGAUUUGUCUCUCCUUCUCACUCCCUGCGUUUCUCUCCUUCCCGGGCUGCAACCGUUUCCGAGACCCGACCCGGAUUGCCUGAGACUGGGUUUAAGUCCAUUUCCGGCGCUUCUGUUAGUGCCAACGCUUCGACGCCUAGAACUGUACUCCAACUUGAGAAUAUUUACGAUGAUGCCUUUGACAGUAGUGGGUUUGCUGCUGGUGUUACUGGUGGUGGAGUGAGGGACAGUAUUGUGAACGUGGAGGGGUUCGAAAGCACGGCGUCGUUCAGGGCUUUGCGGUUGCAACCGGUGCCGCCUGGCGGAGAGGGGUUCUUCAUGUCGGGUCCCAUUGACGAGGGUGCUCUAUCCGGUCCACUCGACACGAACUCGGGGACCGACAGUAGCGGGCGGGUACACUUCUCGGCGCCGCUUGGUGGCACGUAUAUGAAAAAGAAGCGAAGGAAUGGCAUUUCUGGGA
This 703-nucleotide unclassified non-coding RNA is filed under the name Hevea brasiliensis (rubber tree). The record is from RNAcentral. Lineage: Eukaryota; Viridiplantae; Streptophyta; Magnoliopsida; Malpighiales; Euphorbiaceae.